RNAcentral lists this ribosomal RNA (253 nucleotides) under uncultured bacterium. RNAcentral describes it as "partial 16S ribosomal RNA". It matches the Rfam family "Bacterial small subunit ribosomal RNA", at positions 524 to 776 of the family's 1533-position model. The record is from RNAcentral.
UACGUAGGGGGCAAGCGUUGUCCGGAUUUACUGGGCGUAAAGAGCGUGUAGGCGGCCACGCAGGUCCGUUGUGAAAACUGGAGGCUCAACCUCCAGCUGUCGACGGAAACCGUGUGGCUAGAGUCCGGAAGAGGAGAGUGGAAUUCCUGGUGUAGCGGUGAAAUGCGCAGAUAUCAGGAAGAACACCAAUGGCGAAGGCAGCUCUCUGGGACGGUACUGGCGCUGAGACGCGAAAGCGUGGGGAGCAAACAGG